AGCGAACGCUGGCGGCAGGCCUAACACAUGCAAGUCGAACGAACUCUUCGGAGUUAGUGGCGGACGGGUGAGUAACACGUGGGAACGUGCCUUUUGGUUCGGAAUAACUCAGGGAAACUUGUGCUAAUACCGAAUGUGCCCUUCGGGGGAAAGAUUUAUCGCCAUUAGAGCGGCCCGCGUCUGAUUAGCUAGUUGGUGAGGUAACGGCUCACCAAGGCGACGAUCAGUAGCUGGUCUGAGAGGAUGACCAGCCACACUGGGACUGAGACACGGCCCAGACUCCCACCGGAGGGAGGAAGGGGGGAUCCUGCGGAAAUGGGCGAAGGCUGAAGGCGGCCAGGCGGGGUGAUUGAGGAGGGUCCUGGAAUGGUAAAUUUCUUUCACCGGGAAGAUUAAGACGGGAACCGGAGGAAGAAGCCCGGCUAACUUCGUG
This 433-nucleotide ribosomal RNA is filed under the name uncultured bacterium. RNAcentral's name for it is "partial 16S ribosomal RNA". It matches the Rfam family "Bacterial small subunit ribosomal RNA", at positions 29 to 507 of the family's 1533-position model. The record is from RNAcentral.